RNAcentral lists this ribosomal RNA (305 nucleotides) under uncultured bacterium. Its description in RNAcentral is "bacterial SSU rRNA". It matches the Rfam family "Bacterial small subunit ribosomal RNA", at positions 334 to 655 of the family's 1533-position model. The record is from RNAcentral.
UUUCCCUACGGGACGCAGCAGUGGGGAAUAUUGCACAAUGGGGGAAACCCUGAUGCAGCAACGCCGCGUGAGUGAGGAAGUAUUUCGGUAUGUAAAGCUCUAUCAGCAGGGAAUAGAAAAGAAGGUACCUGAAAAAGAAGCCCCGGCUAACUACGUGCCAGCAGCCGCGGUAAUACGUAGGGGGCAAGCGUUAUCCGGAUUUACUGGGUGUAAAGGGAGCGCAGACGGCAGUGCAAGUCUGGAGUGAAAGCCCGGGGCCCAACCCCGGAGCUGCUCUGGAAACUGUGCGGCUAGAGUACUGGAGG